AGGCACAGUCGUUGCCUUCAGAGAACUUACAACCUCGUGCGGAAGGUGAGCUACCACGGACAACUACGAUAGAAGGCACCAGAAGACCAUCCUUAGAAAGUGCGUGAGGAAGCUUAUCUACCACUAGGGAAAGAUCUCCUAGAUCCAUCUUCAGGCAACAGAGAACACACAAUGCAGGACCGUGUUCGUAACAUAUCUCUUUUCAGACCCAGGGAAGCAUCUAAAUGUGGUUCCUGCACUCCUUAUUGACACACUCCCAAGGGCCCAGAUGGUUGUGGAAAGUAACCUAUUUGAUAAAAAGAC
Physeter macrocephalus (sperm whale) is the source of this 303-nucleotide long non-coding RNA. RefSeq lists it as uncharacterized. The transcript has 3 exons. Lineage: Eukaryota; Metazoa; Chordata; Mammalia; Artiodactyla; Physeteridae. The record is from RefSeq and is a predicted model, not a curated record.